Molecule: long non-coding RNA, 377 nt
Organism: Oreochromis niloticus (Nile tilapia)
Lineage: Eukaryota; Metazoa; Chordata; Actinopteri; Cichliformes; Cichlidae
Exons: 2
Source: RefSeq, a predicted model, not a curated record
GAGGUAGACAGAUGUUUCUCCAGCUGUUGUCUUUGUGGCUGGUAGUCUAGAGUUGUAGAGCAGCAUUGUUUGGGUAAGGUUAGAGCAGAAACAAAGACAUUUAUGAAUCAGUCUCUUCUUCUCUUGCUCUCUAACUCGUCUGUAAACAUGUGUGGGGAAACUCAAUGUUAAAGCCUACAGCUGGAGGGGGAGGGGAGGGGUGAAGCUGGUGGUUGUGAGUCUGUGAAAGUGAAUCCUGCCGGUGCCAUAGCUGCUGAAAACGUACUUAGUGCAGACACAAAACGUCCAUCAGCUUCAAAGUGUGUCAGAAAAAUGUCCACAUGAUGACUGAUGGAUGAGAGAGGUCCCAUUUUUGUUGUUGUGCACAAAUCAUUGAA